This 253-nucleotide ribosomal RNA is filed under the name uncultured bacterium. RNAcentral describes it as "partial 16S ribosomal RNA". It matches the Rfam family "Bacterial small subunit ribosomal RNA", at positions 524 to 776 of the family's 1533-position model. The record is from RNAcentral.
UACGGGGGGGGUAAGCGUUGUUCGGAAUUACUGGGCGUAAAGGGCUCGUAGGCGGCCAACUAAGUCAGACGUGAAAUCCCUCAGCUUAACUGGGGAACUGCGUCUGAUACUGGAUGGCUUGGAUCCGGGAGAGGGAUGCGGAAUCCCAGGUGUAGCGGUGAAAUGCGUAGAUAUCUGGAGGAACACCGGUGGCGAAGGCGGCAUCCUGGACCGGUAUUGACGCUGAGGAGCGAAAGCCAGGGGAGCAAACGGG